This 1057-nucleotide long non-coding RNA is filed under the name Homo sapiens (human). RNAcentral describes it as "HSALNT0327021". Lineage: Eukaryota; Metazoa; Chordata; Mammalia; Primates; Hominidae. The record is from RNAcentral.
ACCACACCAAAUUCAACAUUAAGGGCCAACCCUGACCACAGCUGAGCCGUGUGAAGAGGCUGACAGCGGCGUGGCCACCACCCAGGAUGGAGAGAAAGGCACUGUGAGGUGUUAAUGGAAAAAUCCAACUUCCUUUUCUUCCAAAGAUGAUGACUGAAACCAAAGUGGAGCUUUCCCUUGUGAAGUGAAAGCAAAGUUUUAAAAUUUUUUCUCCUCUGCAAGAAAAUAUAUUUCAGAAAAUCUCUAUCUCAAAAAUGAAGCAAUUAAGAACUGUCUGGCUGUGAGGAUCUGGCCUCAACUUGACUUAAAGCAACAACUUCAGUUACAUAUCAAGAUGAAACUUUCUGAGAUGCAAGUGGGUGUUAAAUGGUUCAGCAAAGCCAAGCCAGAGCAGUUGGUGUGCUUUGAAAUGAAGCAACAUUGGAAAAAUGAAAUCUACUGAAAGAUCACUACGUGUUUCAAAGGCCUUCAGACUCAGACUGGAACUGCACCGUUGGCUCUCCUGGGUGGGUCUCCAGCUUGCUGACCACAGACCUUGAGACUUCUCAGCCUUUAGAAUCAUGGAAGCCAAUUCCUUAUAAUAAUAUAUAUCCUUUUCCUAGUCUGUGGACUUUUCCCAGCUCCAGACAGACAACCUUCUAUAAACUCCAGGAUGCUCCAUCAAUGCCGUCUGGACUCUACAGAUUUUGACCCUGAAGUAAAGUAGGAAAGGCUAUGAGGACAUGUUAAAUGUUGUACUACCGCCUGAAGCCUUUUCUUCUUUAAAUUUUUCAACAAGAGUUGAAUGCACACGUGGAGCUUAAUUGGACAACAACUUUUCUCCUCUUCUGUGGGAUCCCGUCAGUGCUUUAAGCAAUGAGAAGGCAGCUCAUUUCCAAGUUUGUGUGGUAAAUUUGGGGCAAGUGGGAGAAAAGAAAGAAAGGCUGAGUCUUAUAGGGUGUGAUUUGGUUCUAGACAUGCUUAUGUUACUUUUUAUAAGAUUAUCCAUUUGACUAGAUUUCUUUCCUGCUGACAAAAGAGGCAAUUUCUACAUAUAAAAUAAAUCUGAUUAAAACUC